AGAGUUUGAUCCUGGCUCAGAUUGAACGCUGGCGGAAUGCUUUACACAUGCAAGUCGAACGGUAGAGGGGGCAACCCCUCGAGAGUGGCGAACGGGUGAGUAAUAUAUCGGAACGUGCCCAGUCGCGGGGGAUAACGUAGUGAAAAUUACGCUAAUACCGCAUACGAUCUAAGGAUGAAAGCGGGGGAUCGCAAGACCUCGCGCGAUUGGAGCGGCCGAUAUCAGAUUAGGUAGUUGGUAGGGUAAAGGCCUACCAAGCCAACGAUCUGUAGCUGGUCUGAGAGGACGACCAGCCACACUGGAACUGAGACACGGUCCAGACUCCUACGGGAGGCAGCAGUGGGGAAUUUUGGACAAUGGGCGAAAGCCUGAUCCAGCCAUUCCGCGUGCAGGAUGAAGGCCCUCGGGUUGUAAACUGCUUUUGUACAGAACGAAAAGGUCUCUAUUAAUACUAGGGGCUCAUGACGGUACUGUAAGAAUAAGCACCGGCUAACUACGUGCCAGCAGCCGCGGUAAUACGUAGGGUGCAAGCGUUAAUCGGAAUUACUGGGCGUAAAGCGUGCGCAGGCGGUUAUAUAAGUCAGAUGUGAAAUCCCCGGGCUCAACCUGGGAACUGCAUUUGAGACUGUAUAGCUAGAGUACGGUAGAGGGGGAUGGAAUUCCGCGUGUAGCAGUGAAAUGCGUAGAUAUGCGGAGGAACACCGAUGGCGAAGGCAAUCCCCUGGACCUGUACUGACGCUCAUGCACGAAAGCGUGGGGAGCAAACAGGAUUAGAUACCCUGGUAGUCCACGCCCUAAAC
RNAcentral lists this ribosomal RNA (800 nucleotides) under uncultured bacterium. RNAcentral's name for it is "bacterial SSU rRNA". It matches the Rfam family "Bacterial small subunit ribosomal RNA", at positions 8 to 807 of the family's 1533-position model. The record is from RNAcentral.